UAGAGCAUCACCAAGGGGCAAG
This 22-nucleotide microRNA is filed under the name Gallus gallus (chicken). Its description in RNAcentral is "gga-miR-1722-3p". The record is from miRBase by way of RNAcentral. Lineage: Eukaryota; Metazoa; Chordata; Aves; Galliformes; Phasianidae.